This 324-nucleotide ribosomal RNA is filed under the name uncultured eukaryote. RNAcentral's name for it is "partial 18S ribosomal RNA". It matches the Rfam family "Eukaryotic small subunit ribosomal RNA", at positions 1470 to 1796 of the family's 1831-position model. The record is from RNAcentral.
CCCUUAGAUGUCCUGGGCUGCACGCGCGCUACACUGAUGUGUCCAGUAAGCACCUAACCUCUUCCGAAAGGAACGGGUAACCUUUGCAAAGCACAUCGUGAUGGGGAUCGAUUAUUGCAAUUAUUAGUCUUGAACGAGGAAUUCCUAGUAAGCACAAGUCAUCAGCUUGUGUUGAUUACGUCCCUGCCCUUUGUACACACCGCCCGUCGCUCCUACCGAUUGAAUGUUCCGGUGAGCUCUUCGGACUGCGCGGUCUGCAGUUUCUGCGUUCCGUGCGGAAAGUUGCGCAAACCUUAACAUUUAGAGGAAGGAGAAGUCGUAACA